RNAcentral lists this transfer RNA (89 nucleotides) under Spirilliplanes yamanashiensis. RNAcentral describes it as "tRNA-Pro". The record is from RNAcentral. Lineage: Bacteria; Bacillati; Actinomycetota; Actinomycetes; Micromonosporales; Micromonosporaceae.
GCGGCCUGUUCGGCGGUGAGGUCGUCGGCCGCCGCGGGCGCGGCCGGCUGCGCGGGCGGCUGCGGCGGUUCGGCGUGCGCCGGUCCGCC